GUCUCUUCGGGGAUGAUUAAACCGGCGCACGGGUGAGUAACACGUGAGUGACCUGCCUUUUAGACUGGAACAACUUACCGAAAGGUGAGCUAAUGCCGGAUGAGUUAUAUAAGUGCAUGUUUAUAUAGGAAAAGUUGGGGAGACCUGACGCUGAAAGAUGGACUCGCGUCCCAUUAGCUAGUUGGUAGGGUAAUGGCCUACCAAGGCGACGAUGGGUAGCCGGCCUGAGAGGGUGGCCGGCCACACUGGGACUGAGACACGGCCCAGACUCCUACGGGAGGCAGCAGUGGGGAAUUUUGCGCAAUGCUCGUAAGAGUGACGCAGCGACGCCGCGUGAAUGACGAAGGCCUUCGGGUCGUAAAGUUCUUUCGACAGGGAAGAAAAUGCCUAUAAGUAACUGUGUAUGUAUUGACGGUACCUGUAUAAGCAGCCCCGGCUAACUCCGUGCCAGCAGCCGCGGUAAUACGGAGGGGGCGAGCGUUGUUCGGAGUGACUGGGCGUAAAGAGCACGUAGGCGGUGUUGUAAGUCAUUAGUCAAAGACUAGAGCUCAACUUUAGUAAGGCUAGUGAUACUAUAAUACUAGAGUAUCAGAGAGGAUUGCAGAAUUCCUGGUGUAGCGGUGAAAUGCGUAGAUAUCAGGAGGAAUACCGUUAGCGAAGGCGGCAAUCUGGCUGGAAACUGACGCUGAGGUGCGAAAGCGUGGGUAGCAAACAGGAUUAGAUACCCUGGUAGUCCACGCUGUAAACGAUGGAUGCUAGGUGUUGGGCUUUUAAGUUCAGUGCCGCAGCAAACGCGAUAAGCAUCCCGCCUGGGGA
Molecule: ribosomal RNA, 816 nt
Filed under: uncultured bacterium
Lineage: Bacteria
Description: bacterial SSU rRNA
Rfam family: Bacterial small subunit ribosomal RNA
Source: RNAcentral